GUGUCAGCAGCCGCGGUAAUACGAAGGGGGCUAGCGUUGCUCGGAAUUACUGGGCGUAAAGCGCACGUAGGCGGAUUCUUAAGUCGGGGGUGAAAUCCCGGAGCUCAACUCCGGAACUGCCUUCGAUACUGAGAAUCUCGAGUCCGGGAGAGGUGAGUGGAACUCCGAGUGUAGAGGUGAAAUUCGUAGAUAUUCGGAAGAACACCAGUGGCGAAGGCGGCUCACUGGCCCGGUACUGACGCUGAGGUGCGAAAGCGUGGGGAGCAAACAGGAUUAGAUACCCUAGUAGUCC
RNAcentral lists this ribosomal RNA (292 nucleotides) under uncultured bacterium. Its description in RNAcentral is "partial 16S ribosomal RNA". It matches the Rfam family "Bacterial small subunit ribosomal RNA", at positions 505 to 796 of the family's 1533-position model. The record is from RNAcentral.